This 600-nucleotide ribosomal RNA is filed under the name uncultured bacterium. Its description in RNAcentral is "bacterial SSU rRNA". It matches the Rfam family "Bacterial small subunit ribosomal RNA", at positions 55 to 702 of the family's 1533-position model. The record is from RNAcentral.
AUGCAGUCGAGCGCGCCCUUCGGGGUGAGCGGCGGACGGGUGAGUCCCCUUUGGGAAUAUGCCCUUCUCUAAGGAAUAGCCUCUGGAAACGGAGAGUAAUACCUUAUACGCCCUUCGGGGGAAAGAUUUAUCGGAGAAGGAUUAGCCCGCGUUAGAUUAGGUAGUUGGUGGGGUAAUGGCCUACCAAGCCUACGAUCUAUAGCUGGUUUGAGAGGAUGAUCAGCCACACUGGGACUGAGACACGGCCCAGACUCCUACGGGAGGCAGCAGUAGGGAAUCUUAGACAAUGGGGGCAACCCUGAUCUAGCCAUGCCGCGUGUGUGAUGAAGGCCCUAGGGUCGUAAAGCACUUUCGCCAGAGAUGAUAAUGACAGUAUCUGGUAAAGAAACCCCGGCUAACUCCGUGCCAGCAGCCGCGGUAAUACGGAGGGGGUUAGCGUUGUUCGGAAUUACUGGGCGUAAAGCGCACGUAGGCGGAUUAGUAAGUUAGAGGUGAAAUCCCAGGGCUCAACCCUGGAACUGCCUUUAAUACUGCUAGUCUUGAGUUCGAGAGAGGUAAGUGGAAUUCCGAGUGUAGAGGUGAAAUUCGUAGAUAUUCGGA